This 484-nucleotide ribosomal RNA is filed under the name uncultured bacterium. Its description in RNAcentral is "partial 16S ribosomal RNA". It matches the Rfam family "Bacterial small subunit ribosomal RNA", at positions 28 to 507 of the family's 1533-position model. The record is from RNAcentral.
GUUGAACGCUGGCGGCAGGCCUAACACAUGCAAGUCGAGCGGAUGAAGGGAGCUUGCUCCUGGAUUCAGCGGCGGACGGGUGAGUAAUGCCUAGGAAUCUGCCUGGUAGUGGGGGAUAACGUCCGGAAACGGGCGCUAAUACCGCAUACGUCCUGAGGGAGAAAGUGGGGGAUCUUCGGACCUCACGCUAUCAGAUGAGCCUAGGUCGGAUUAGCUAGUUGGCGGGGUAAAGGCCUACCAAGGCGACGAUCCGUAACUGGUCUGAGAGGAUGAUCAGUCACACUGGAACUGAGACACGGUCCAGACUCCUACGGGAGGCAGCAGUGGGGAAUAUUGGACAAUGGGCGAAAGCCUGAUCCAGCCAUGCCGCGUGUGUGAAGAAGGUCUUCGGAUUGUAAAGCACUUUAAGUUGGGAGGAAGGGCAGUAAGUUAAUACCUUGCUGUUUUGACGUUACCAACAGAAUAAGCACCGGCUAACUUCGUG